Molecule: long non-coding RNA, 1106 nt
Filed under: Homo sapiens (human)
Lineage: Eukaryota; Metazoa; Chordata; Mammalia; Primates; Hominidae
Description: small nucleolar RNA host gene 17
Source: RNAcentral
AGUCCUUCGCCGUCCCUCGCCGUCCUUCGCCAUCGCACGCCACCGCACCCCAUCUCUCGAAAUCUGCAGACAUCUUGAUUUUUCCCACGCUGUCUGUCAGGUCUCCGCCGCCACUCGACGCCAGGGCGCCGGGUGAGUCCACAGCAGGGCGCAUGGUCGGCUCCACUCUCACCAUCGGGGGAAACUGAGGCCCCGGGGAAGGCGGCCAGAGAGGUCAGGCCCUGUCCUUGGUGCAGUGUCUCGUCCUCUUUGCCGGAGUGAGCCCCCCAGGAUUCGCGUGUCCUCGGGAAAGACACUGGCAGGCCUUGUGGGCUGUGCUGCACCUCGGACGGCUUCGCACCAGCCAGCGCCCUCUCUCUCCUGCAGCACUCUGAUCUGCACCCCCUGAGGGGCUUCCACUGUCCGCGGGGUGAGAAUGCCCCUGGGAGUGUCACAUGACUGCCGCCCCAUGUGUGUGAGAGGCGUCCUCUGGGAGAGCAUGGAUCCUGAGGUCCCAGGAUUGUCAGCUGACCUCUGUCCUGUGUGCCCAGUGGCCCCAGGUGACGUGUCUUCAAGAAGAGGCUGAGCUGCGGUGCUUGUAAGGCAGGGUCUCAUUCUGUCACCCAGGCUGGAGUGCAGUGGUGCAAUGAUGGCUCACUGCAGCCUCGACCUGGGCUCAAGUGAUCCUCCACCUCAGCUUCCUGAGUAGCUGGGACCACAGGUCUCAGCCUUAGAUCCAAGGACAGUCCAAGGAAGUCCUAAGACCAUGGAGUUGGUGAUCUGGGAUCUGGGUUUGCUGAUAUUUCUCACCGUGAAUCUCUUGGUGGUGUUUGUGGGCACGAGAGGGGCAGAGAAUGGAGAGUGAGGCUACCACAUGAAGCGUCACCAGAGCUGCUCCCUGCUGCCUGCUCAGAGCACCCCGGAUCCACUGUUCAAUCUGCACAAGAUUCGGGGUCCAGACAUGGGAGACUUCAGCUGCCUCAGAGGACCGUGGACAGGGAAGGCCAGCCUCGCAUCCCUCUGUCCAUGCCUGGAAUGACUUUAAUAACCAAGAGUUUUAUUUUUGAAUUUGUAGCUGUCGUUCACUUUUUACCCACCCAUUCAAUAAACCUUACAGAAUUGCUCCA